RNAcentral lists this ribosomal RNA (468 nucleotides) under uncultured bacterium. Its description in RNAcentral is "partial 16S ribosomal RNA". It matches the Rfam family "Bacterial small subunit ribosomal RNA", at positions 28 to 507 of the family's 1533-position model. The record is from RNAcentral.
GACGAACGCUGGCGGCGUGCUUAACACAUGCAAGUCGAACGGAAAGGCCCUGCUUUUGUGGGGUGCUCGAGUGGCGAACGGGUGAGUAACACGUGAGUAACCUGCCCUUGACUUUGGGAUAACUUCAGGAAACUGGGGCUAAUACCGGAUAGGAGCUCCUGCUGCAUGGUGGGGGUUGGAAAGUUUCGGCGGUUGGGGAUGGACUCGCGGCUUAUCAGCUUGUUGGUGGGGUAGUGGCUUACCAAGGCUUUGACGGGUAGCCGGCCUGAGAGGGUGACCGGCAACAUUGGGACUGAGAUACGGCCAAGACUCCUACGGGAGGCAGCAGUGGGGAUUAUUGCACAAUGGGCGGAAGCCUGAUGCAGCAACGCCGCGUGCGGGAUGACGGCCUUCGGGUUGUAACCCGCUUUCGCCUGUGACGAAGCGUGAGUGACGGUAAUGGGUAAAGAAGCACCGGCUAACUACGUG